UACGAAGGGGGCUAGCGUUGCUCGGAAUUACUGGGCGUAAAGCGCGCGCAGGCGGUUUUCCAAGUCAGUGGUGAAAGCCCGGAGCUCAACUCCGGAAUUGCCAUUGAAACUGUUAAACUUGAGGACGAGAGAGGUGAGUGGAAUUCCCAGUGUAGAGGUGAAAUUCGUAGAUAUUGGGAAGAACACCGGUGGCGAAGGCGGCUCACUGGCUCGUUUCUGACGCUCAGGCGCGAUAGCGUGGGGAUCAAACAGG
Molecule: ribosomal RNA, 253 nt
Filed under: uncultured bacterium
Lineage: Bacteria
Description: partial 16S ribosomal RNA
Rfam family: Bacterial small subunit ribosomal RNA
Source: RNAcentral